This 315-nucleotide unclassified non-coding RNA is filed under the name plant metagenome. Its description in RNAcentral is "partial contains 5.8S ribosomal RNA, internal transcribed spacer 2, and large subunit ribosomal RNA". The stretch from base 1 to 105 matches the Rfam family "5.8S ribosomal RNA", at positions 50 to 154 of the family's 154-position model. The record is from RNAcentral.
GAAAUGUGAUAAGUAAUGUGAAUUGCAGAAUUCAGUGAAUCAUCGAAUCUUUGAACGCACAUUGCGCCCCCUGGCAUUCCGGGGGGCAUGCCUGUCCGAGCGUCAUUGCUGCCCUUCAAGCCCGGCUUGUGUGUUGGGUCGUCGUCCCCUCCGGGGGACGGGCCCGAAAGGCAGCGGCGGCACCGCGUCCGGUCCUCGAGCGUAUGGGGCUUUGUCACCCGCUCGAUAAGGACCGGCCGGGCGCCAGCCGGCGUCUCCAACCUUUUUUUCUCAGGUUGACCUCGGAUCAGGUAGGGAUACCCGCUGAACUUAAGC